CACUCGAUCGGGAAAUGUAGUGUUAGGGAGGAUCCAACUAUCCCGGAUUGUCGAGGCGAGUCCAAGUCCAUCUUGAAUGGGGCCACUGCCCGUAGAGGGUGCCAGGCCCGUAGUGACCGCUUAUGCUUUCCGGGAGGAUCUCUCCUUAGAGUCGGGUUGCUUGAGAGUGCAGCUCUAAGUGGGUGGUAAACUCCAUCUAAGGCUAAAUAUGACCACGAGACCGAUAGCGAACAAGUACCGUGAGGGAAAGUUGAAAAGAACUUUGAAGAGAGAGUUCAAUAGUACGUGAAACCGUCCGGGGGUAAACGGGAGAAGUCCUAAAGGUCGAACGGGAAGAUUCAUGCCGCUUCUGUUGCUGGCCAUCUUUGUUACCAGACGGUGUCGGUCGCCCAGGACGACUUCGGUCGUGCCCGGUGUCGUUGUCUGACUGCCGCUCGGUAUGCAUUGGUGCCGUUCCAGUUUAUGGAAGGGUGCACUUCUUCCCUAGUAGGAACGUCGCGACCCGUUGGGUGUCGGUCUAAGGCCCGGGGAGGAAGUCUGUGCCUAUGGUAAGCGGGGUGAGGCGCCGCAAUAUUUGCCUGGGUCAGACCCUCGGUGUCCCGGUCGACUGCUCGACGGUAUGUAGCAAAGGAGUUAAUCCGCUCACCUUUUGGUGUGAGCGCCCGGCCCGCUUCAUUCGGACGAGAUUAGUACUAUGUCGUGAUUCAACCCACGGCAUGGAACCCUCGUGCCGUUUGCUCUAGCAGUGCCUCUCGGGCAGCAGAUUAUUCUCCCGUCUGCGACGCUAAAGCUUUGGAUCGUUUCCCGACCCGUCUUGAAACACGGACCAAGGAGUCUAACAUGUGCGCGAGUCAUUGGGAAUUUUUAUAAACCUAAAGGCGCAAUGAAAGUGAAGGUGAGAGCCAAAAUUUUUUGGCACUUGCUCAGGGAAGAAGGUACUGGUCCUUGUCUAACGACAAGUUCAACCGGACCCGCAUUCCCGGGGCGUCUCGUUCUCAUUGCGAGAUGAGGCGCACCUAGAGCGUACACGUUGGGACCCGAAAGAUGGUGAACUAUGCCUGGUCAGGACGAAGUCAGGGGAAACCCUGAUGGAGGUCCGUAGCGAUUCUGACGUGCAAAUCGAUCGUCGGAACUGGGUAUAGGGGCGAAAGACCAAUCGAACCAUCUAGUAGCUGGUUCCCUCCGAAGUUUCCCUCAGGAUAGCUGGCACUCGGAGUACAAAAAUUAAAAGACUUAUAGUCUCAUAUGGUAAAGCGAAUGAUUAGAGGCCUUGGGGCCGAAACGACCUCAACCUAUUCUCAAACUUUAAAUGUGUGAGAUCUCAGGCUUGCUUGAACGAAAAAAUUUUUUUUUCAUGAAGUCUGAGAUGGAUAAGAGAUGCCAAGUGGGCCAUUUUUGGUAGGUGUGUGGGCAACCUUGGUUGCGAAGCCCUGACGAGUAGGAGGGUCGCGGCGGUGUGCGCAGAAGGGUCUGGGCGUGAGCCUGCCUGGAGCCGCCGUCGGUGCAGAUCUUGGUGGUAGUAGCAAAUACUCCAGCGAGGCCCUGGAGGACUGAUGUGUAGAAGGGUUUCGUGUGAACAGCCGUUGCACACGAGUCAGUCGAUCCUAAGCCCUAGGAGAAAUCCGAAACGAUGGUUGUUGAUCUAACCCAACACCGUCGGGCGAAAGGGAAUCCGGUUCCUAUUCCGGAACCCGGCUGCGAAACCGGUGUACGUCGGGUGUAUCAAGCUCCCUUUUCUGUCCAGUAGUCUUAGCCCGAGUGUUCACUUCGGUGACUCGCAGGCGGGCGCUGGGCUUUGUAUUUGGGGGAUCUUGUAUGCACUCGUCGGGGUAACCCAACAUGACCCGAAGACGCCGUCGGGAGAUCCGGGCAGAGUUUUCUGUUCUGCAUGAGCGUUCGAGUUCCCUGGAAUCCUCUAGCAGGGAGAUAGGGUUUGGAACGCGAAGAGCACCGCAGUUGCGGCGGUGUCUGGAUCUUCCCCUCGGACCUUGAAAAUUCGGGGAAGGGACACGUGGAGGUCUCGCGCCGGUUCGUACCCAUAUCCGCAGCAGGUCUCCAAGGUAAAGAGCCUCUAGUC
RNAcentral lists this ribosomal RNA (2077 nucleotides) under Grylloblatta sp. BYU_ACGB005. Its description in RNAcentral is "eukaryotic LSU rRNA". It matches the Rfam family "Eukaryotic large subunit ribosomal RNA", at positions 129 to 1888 of the family's 3401-position model. Lineage: Eukaryota; Metazoa; Arthropoda; Insecta; Grylloblattodea; Grylloblattidae. The record is from RNAcentral.